This 6551-nucleotide long non-coding RNA is filed under the name Gossypium barbadense (sea-island cotton). RNAcentral describes it as "long non-coding RNA (GBAR_LNC020421)". The record is from RNAcentral. Lineage: Eukaryota; Viridiplantae; Streptophyta; Magnoliopsida; Malvales; Malvaceae.
UCGAGCGAAGCGGGUAGGUUUAUGGGCUUUACCGAAUCCUGAGAAGCCAUGGGAAUGGAGAAAGGACAAACGACAAGGCAGAUGACAACGUCUGAUACCUUGAAUGAACCACAUUUGACAUGUACAUAAAGAAAUAUGGGUGCCCUAUAACUUGUACACAAGACCAGGGGAAUCUACAAACCAUUUGAACAUUGUCAAUUUGAUGUUUUAUUCCGAUUUUAGAAAGUGUUAGUAACAUGUAACAUUUGUUCAAACAAUUAAAGCAAGUGUUGUAACGUAUAUAUUUUAUCAAUUUGAUUCUUGUAAAAAUCUAUAGAACUCUUACCGCAUUAGUUAGCAAAAUGUACCUGAUAAUAUUUAUCAAUUUAAAGCAUCGAAAGGCAAUUCUUGUGUCAUUAAAACAUGUAUAUCAACGGUAGAAUCUAGGGUAAAAAAUUAUUUUAUUAAGCGUCACAUUGCAUUUCAUGUAAAAAAUAAAUAAACUAGUCCUUAUACAUUAGAUUAAAGAAUAAAUUGAUUCUUUCUAUUAAACUACACACUAGUAACAUGAGACUAAUUUGCAUUUUUUUAUUAAAAAAAUAUAAAAUACAAUCUAACUUUUAAUUUACCUAAAAUCUAUUAUUAUUAUUAUUAUUAUUAUUAUUAUUAUUAUUAUAAUAUAAGAGCUUUGAGGUGAUAGGAUACUAUAAAAUUUUUGGAGUAAAGGUCAGUAGUACCAACAGGAAUCUGCAAACGAAACUCAUUGGAAGCGCCUUUGACCAUAAAAAAAAUAUCCCACCAUAAGUCUUUCUCUUUCCUUGCAUGUCUUCCAGCUUUCAUUUACCCCAGUCCUCAAUAUCUCCUCUAUAGUGCUACAGCAAAAGUUUUGAGAGCUAGGAUUUUUCAAGAUGGGAAAUGCUCUUAGGCUCCUAUAUGAGAAAAGUUUGGAAGCCGUCGUCAUUACGGAAGGUGGUUCAGUAGAGCCACGUUAUACCACUACAGCUCCUCGGGUUUCAGCUCUUGCCCGUGAUCUCCUCAACUUUGAAAGAACUUCCCUGGUAAUGAUUAUUUCUGUGUGUUCUCUUUGUUGAUCUUUUUGAGCUGAGCAAAGCUUAUCUGUUUGUUUAAAAUUGGAAACUGGUUUCUUCAAGGUACCGGAAGAUCUCACUCAGCAUGUUGUAUCAUCAAGGAAGGCUCAAGUCAAAUGGUAACUAACAUAUCUGAUGAUGAUGAUGGUGAUAAUGAUGAUGAUGAUCAACACCAUCUGGUUGACUUUUCUUGGUCUGUUUUACAUUAAGGUAUGGAAAGUUAUUGCAAGCAUGGAAAGAAGCAAAACCCCGACCAAAAACACCUGAAGAGGUUGCUAGGCUUAUUGUUGAGACCUUAAGCAGACAUCAAAAGGCAGAUGUUGAGGUAUAAAAAAGGCCAAUAGCAUCAAAAGCAUUAGUUAUGUACUGUUGUUAAUGCUAUUGCAGUAAUGUUUUUUUGUGUUCUAAUUUACUUUUAGGGUUUAUUGGAAUUCUAUGAUCUUCCUCAUCCUACUAUUUUUGAGGAAAUUUCUACUGGUGUCCCGAUAAGAUUGCCUGAAGGAGUGAAAUUUGAAAUGCAUACAUUACCAGUGAGGAUAUUAAAUGCCAUUUCAAUAUUGUUCAAGGGAGAUUGCUCUCUGGGCCAGUCUUGAAUCCUCAAUGGUGAAGGUAUUGUACUCUAGAUGUCUAUUCUUGAUUAUCCUCAAGUUUUAUCUUCUGUAAUUCGAGAAGAAGCAAAAGAGAUUCACAAAGUUUAGAAAGUGUCUCGCCACCAGGGAAAUGUUUAGCAUUUAGCCACCAAAUGCUAAACAUUUACUUGGUGGGGAGAUGCUCCUAAGUUCUGUGAACUUUUGGGGCUCGCUUCGGACUACAAGAGACAAAAGCCCGGGGAUAAUCGAUAAUAGACAUUCUGAGUAUAAUACCUCCACCGUUGAGGUCUGAAACCGGCCUAAAGAGCAACCUCCCGUCAACAAGUAUACAUAUUGGAUUUGAUAAUUUCGAUGCUGUAAACUUCUUUAACUUAAUCAGGUAGAUGGGAAUAAAGUACCAGAUGGGGAUGGUUUAUAUGUGUAUGUGAAUACUGAUGAUCCCAGGGAGUCCUCGAACAUACCUAGAGCCGUUCUUAUGGCUGCGGUUCAAAGAUCAAAAGCACGUGCUAUGAAAAACUAUGCCAGAGCCGAUGAACUCCGCAAGAAGAUUAUUGAAUCAGGAUACCGGUUAGCUGCAUUCAACUUGUCAAAUUUUUAGUACUACUGUGAUUCGAGAUUGUUAAUCGUUGUUUGUCUGCAGGGUCAUAGACUUUCAAAACGAAGAGAUUCUUGCUCGAGAGUAUCGGAUUCGACUGAGGUAACAUUGUCUGUUUGUAGGACUUUUAUGUUCUAUAGUGUAACUUGUUGAAAGCAUAUAAACGGGGGUAUAGAUGCACCUGAGAUGUUGAUGCCGUUCGGAGAAGAAGCAAAACAAGAGUUGGCUAAGCUUGUUCGUGGGAAAUGUUUGAGAGUGCUUGUCUACGGGAAAGAUCAACACGGUCGUUGUGUUGCAGACAUAUACUGCAAUGGCAUUUUCGCGCAGGUAGAUACCCUUUUUGUAAGCUUCAAUUCGGUUUACCUGAUAAGAACGAAUUAAUCUGCAAACCUGUUACUUGAACAGGAAGUAAUGCUAAAGAAAGGACUCGCAUGGCAUUAUGUAGCCUACGACCAACGGGUUGAAUUCGCAACCGUAAGUAAACAACAAUCCUGUAUGUUCUUGCACAUCGUUGAGUUAAAACUUGUGACUAUUGUCUUUGUACGUAUGUAAUAUCAGUGGCAAAAAGAGGCUCAGGCAAAGAGAACCGGCCUUUGGGUACACUCAAACCCAGAGAAGCCAUGGGAAUGGAGGAAGAAGAACAAACGGUAAGGUAGAUAAAACUGUCCUUAAGGAUCCAUAACAUCUUGAGAAGUGAUAAAAGUACACAAUUAUCAUAUUUGUGUAAAGAACCAUGUUUGAUAGUUGAAACUUGUUGUAAGUUGUUUCAAAAACUUGAUGAAUGAUAUGUAUUUGCAGCAUGGAGUCCAAGGAGGAGUGUUGAAAUUGGCCAACCAUGCUGCUGUUUGAAGUGCAUGCAGCUUGAUGACAUGCUGCAGCACGUAUGCUUGCUGUGACAGCAAGGUUUUCUCUUUAGUUUCUUUGUUAAGCUACAUAGUUGAAAAUGAACAAGUUGGUAUUGUUUUGAUGUUUUUAGGUGCUGAUUGACAUAAUCAGCUUGUGUGCAAGUUAAGUUUUACUUGUUUCUAAGUAUAAUUAGUGGUAGUAGGUACUAUUUGGUGAUGUAUUUGACUAUAUAUAUGUUGUUUUUCUAGUUGAAUGAAUGAGUUGAAUGAGCUAUCAGCCAUAAGCUCCCUUGCUGCACGUUUGUGAGCAAGUAAAAAUUUUCUUGCACCUUGCUUCAUGUUCUGUUCUCUCUGUUCUCUUAUUUUGCUGCUGCCAUUGUUCCAACAUUGAUCCAUUCCCAUAUCUCUUGUUUGUAUGCAAUGCUUAUUAUUAUCAAAUGAUUGUCAAACAUAUAUAUGUACAUUACUUUUGAAACAUGGAUGUGCUCCUAAAAUUGAUCUCUAAGGAGAGCAUUGUACCAUAAUAUGGCAUGCUCAACUCAAACAUAUGGACACCAUUUAACAAAGACAUAAAAUCAUAUUCAUGUCGGCCGAAUCAAAACAUCUUUGUGUAGGACCAUAGCUUUAUCCAAAAUUUCCAAGCAUAGAUUUGCAUAAAGAUCUGUUCAGCAUGCAAAAUCCCCAACGGUGCAAUCCAUAAAAUACCAAAAUCCGUUAACAGGGAAAAGAAAGCAUAUUCCAUUAAAUGAAACUCCUUUACAUAUACAAUUCAGUCAUAACAAUCUAUGAUCUCAAUAGCAAAUACAGCAACACUUGAAAGAACAAAAGAUGAUAAAAAACAAAUGAUCAUCAAAGGGUACACAAAGGGAACAAAAAAUAAUCAAGUGAGAGUGUGAAAAGAAUAGAAACCACAUCUCUAUUUGGCAAAAUAAAAGCAGCAAGUGAAUAUGUUUGCAACUUGCUCAUUUGUUUUUGUUGGCACCAUCUUGAUCUCCUCUUCAGGGACCUUUUUGCAAAUAUUAUGAUAAUGCACUUCUAUAUUGUUCUUGCAUGAAAGAUUAGAUUCUCUACUAGACGUAUGACUGAUAAAUUAUUGUAGAGAAGCCUUACUUGAUAGUUUAUUGGCUGAUGAAGAUCUUUCAUAAGUUGUUUCAGCCAAAUACUCCCUUGUGGCGCUGAUGUUGCUGACCAAUAUUCCACUUCGGUACUUGAUAAAGACACUGUUGGUUGUCUCUUGCUGCAUUAUGAUAUUACUCCUGAUCCAAGGCUGAAGAUGUACCCUGUAGUUGAUCGUCGCGUAUCAUAGUCUCCACUAUAGUCGACAUCACAAUAUCCAACCAACAGACAUUCUUUUGUUUUCUUGUAUAAAAUAUCAAAAUUAAUGGUGCCUUUAACAUGCCUCAGAAUGCACCGUAUUGCAUCGAGAUGAGGCUUCUUAGGAUUACUCAUGUAUCGACUAGCCACACCAACUACAUAAAUUAUGUCUGGCCGGCUUAGAGUAAGAUAGAUAUGACUUUCGACCAGCUAUCAAUACAUAGUUACAUCUUCUAAAUGUUUUCCUUCAUCUACUCGUAGUUUUAUAUUGGGAUCCAUGAGAGUGGAGAUAGGCUUGCAGUCAAGCAUCCCAUACCUCUAUAGAAGAUCCUUCGCAUUUUUCUGUUGGGUAAAAAAUAAUCCUUCCUUUGUGUGCUUUACUUCAAGUCCAAGAAAAUGUUUGAGUUCUCUUAGUUCAUUCAUAUGAAAUCUGAUAAAAAGAUUUUUCUUUGUUUGUUGAAUUUCCUCGCAAUAAUCUCCCGUGAUGAUUAAGUCAUCUACAUAUACUAGCAUUAUAGCUAGUUUUCCUUGAUUUGCUUUCACAAAUAACCUAGAAUAUGAAGAAGCAAUUGUAAAACCACUUUGUAUUAAGAACUCACCGAUCUUCUUGUACCAUGUUCUUGGAGUUUACUUCAAGCCGUAAAGCGUCUUCUUCAGUUUGUAAACAUACUCAGGAUGGAUAUUAUUCUCAAAACCUCUUGGUUGCUCCAUGUAGAGGUCCUUGUCAAGUUCUUCAUGUAGGAAAGCAUUCUUGACGUCCAUCUGCCACAGCUUUUAGGACUUUCUAGCUGUCAAUUCUAGUAAGACUCGAACAGUUGUGAUCUUUGUCACCGUGCUAAAUGUUUCUUCAUAAUCCAACCCAUAUUGUUGAGAGAAAACAAGUCGAGCAAUGGUUGAAGAUGAAUACAUCUAAAUCUAUGUAUUAUAAAAGCAAUAAGCAGCCCUAGAUUUUCAACACAUACGACGAAUUCAUUAUGUCUCAAAUUGAUCACAAUAAUUUGUAAUGCCACCUCCAACAAAGUGUCUCUCAUGGAAAUAUCGAAAAUAUCGAAUCCCAAUACUAUAAUGAUAUGGGGAAAUAUGAUGAUUAGUGAUAUAAAGUCAUAACAAUAGUUAACAUCCUCAACAUAGAAAUUGGAGAUUAUAAUAAUGAAAGAUGCGAAGUAACUAACAAGAAUGUUAUGAUGAGCAACAUUUAUAUAUCAUUCGUGUCCAUACGGUUUAUCUUCCAAAAUUUCCACUCAUACCAACAUUUGAAAGUGAUAUUGUUAACAAGAUUUUCACUAUUUUUAAAUUUUAAAAGUGGUAUUGUAACAAGAAUUAUACUAAGGCAGAUGCACUUCAAAAGAAAAUUACUAUUUCAGGAUACAGGUUUUAAGCUAUCAAAUCUUCUCAUACACGAAAAAUGCCGGUUCGGGAUUGGUUUUUAGCGGCCUUAGCUUGUUGCUACAGGGUGUUGAAUGUUCAGAACCAGGAGAUUCUUGCUCGAAAGUAUCGAAUCCAGCUAAAGUAGCACAUUUAUUUGUUUAAUGUUCAAUGUUCAAUGUUUUAUCAGCUAAAUCUCAAUCUAAAAUGUGAGAUAGGGGUAUAGAUGCACCAGAGAGUUCAAUGCCAUACGGUAAAGAAGCGAAAGAAGAGUUGGUUAAGCUUGUUGGUGUGAAAUGCUUACGAGUUCUCGUCUAUGGGGAAGAUCGAUACGACCGUUGCGUCGGAGAUAUAAAUUGCAAUGGAAAAUUCGUUCAGGAAAUUAUGUUGAAAAAGGGGCUUGCAUGGCAUUACUCUGCUUAUGACCAACGUAUAGAACUAGCAACUGUGAGUAACCAAUAGAUUCUCCAUCCCUGCACUUGUUUCAAUCAAAACAUGAAAAAACUGUCAAAUUCUAAAUGCUAUGUACUUGUAUGAAACUAGUGGGAAAAGGAGGCUCGAGCGAAGCGGGUCGGUUUAUGGGCUUUACCGAAUCUUAAGAAGCCAUGGGAAUGGAGAAAGGACAAACGACAAGGCAGAUGACAAUGUCUGAUACCUUGAAUGAACCACAUUUGACAUGUACAUAAAGGAAUAUGGGUGCCCUAUAACUUGUACACAAGACUAGGGGAAUCUACAAACCAUUUGAACAUUGUCAAUUUGAUGUUUUAUUCUGAUU